GAUGAAGAACGUAGCGAAAUGCGAUAAGUAGUGUGAAUUGCAGAAUUCAGUGAAUCAUCGAAUCUUUGAACGCACAUUGUGCCCCUUGGUAUUCCAUGGGGCAUGCCUGUUCGAGCGUCAUUUGUACCUUCAAGCCUUGCUUGGUGUUGGGUGUUUGUCUCGCCUCUGCGCGCAGACUCGCCUCAAAACAAUUGGCAGCCGGCGUAUUGAUUUCGGAGCGCAGUACAUCUCGCGCUUUGCACUCAGAACGACGACGUCCAAAAGUACAUUUUUACACUCUUGACCUCGGAUCAGGUAGGGAUACCCGCUGAACUUAAGCAUAUCAAUAAGCUGAGGA
This 337-nucleotide unclassified non-coding RNA is filed under the name soil metagenome. RNAcentral's name for it is "partial contains 5.8S ribosomal RNA, internal transcribed spacer 2, and large subunit ribosomal RNA". The stretch from base 1 to 120 matches the Rfam family "5.8S ribosomal RNA", at positions 35 to 154 of the family's 154-position model. The record is from RNAcentral.